This is a regulatory RNA element of Haloferax volcanii DS2, 63 nucleotides long. It matches the Rfam family "S15-Halobacteria ribosomal protein leader". The record is from Rfam. Lineage: Archaea; Methanobacteriati; Methanobacteriota; Halobacteria; Halobacteriales; Haloferacaceae.
AUGGGAAUCCAGCACGGCCGCAAAUCUGACUCGCCCAGUUUGGGCUUGGGAUUGCGGUAGUGC